Molecule: ribosomal RNA, 319 nt
Filed under: Pitar citrinus
Lineage: Eukaryota; Metazoa; Mollusca; Bivalvia; Venerida; Veneridae
Description: eukaryotic LSU rRNA
Rfam family: Eukaryotic large subunit ribosomal RNA
Source: RNAcentral
AGUCUAGCAUGUGCGCGAGUCAUGGGGCUCUUACGAAACCCAAAGGCGCAAUGAAAGUAAAGGUCUCCCACGGAGCACCWAGGCAAGAUCCGCCGCAGCGAUGCGGCGGCGCAUUGCCGGCCCGUCUCGGCGGCACSGUUCGCGAGGCGGAGCAAGAGCGCACACGCUGGGACCCGAAAGAUGGUGAACUAUGUCUGAGUAGGGCGAAGUCAGAGGAAACUCUGAUGGAGGCCCGCAGCGAUUCUGACGUGCAAAUCGAUCGUCAAACUUGGAUAUAGGGGCGAAAGACUAAUCGAACCAUCUAGUAGCUGGUUCCCUC